AACGCGAAGAACCUUACCAGGUCUUGACAUCCUCUGACAAUCCUAGAGAUAGGACGUUCCCCUUCGGGGGACAGAGUGACAGGUGGUGCAUGGUUGUCGUCAGCUCGUGUCGUGAGAUGUUGGGUUAAGUCCCGCAACGAGCGCAACCCUUGAUCUUAGUUGCCAGCAUUCAGUUGGGCACUCUAAGGUGACUGCCGGUGACAAACCGGAGGAAGGUGGGGAUGACGUCAAAUCAUCAUGCCCCUUAUGACCUGGGCUACACACGUGCUACAAUGGAUGGUACAAAGGGCUGCAAAACCGCGAGGUUGAGCGAAUCCCAUAAAACCAUUCUCAGUUCGGAUUGUAGGCUGCAACUCGCCUACAUGAAGCCGGAAUCGCUAGUAAUCGCGGAUCAGCAUGCCGCGGUGAAUACGUUCCCGGGCCUUGUA
This 428-nucleotide ribosomal RNA is filed under the name uncultured Bacillota bacterium. RNAcentral describes it as "bacterial SSU rRNA". It matches the Rfam family "Bacterial small subunit ribosomal RNA", at positions 958 to 1385 of the family's 1533-position model. Lineage: Bacteria; Bacillati; Bacillota. The record is from RNAcentral.